GGUUGAAUGGUGUAACGGUAGCACAUAAGAUUUUGAUUAGGCAUCAACAUUCUUGUGACCUGGGUUCGACUCCCAGUUCGACCU
This is a non-coding RNA of Tirmania nivea, 84 nucleotides long. The record is from the annotation of a GenBank genome assembly. NCBI's taxonomy places the organism in Eukaryota, Fungi, Ascomycota, Pezizomycetes, Pezizales, Pezizaceae.